CCCUCACUCGGACGGGCUGUG
RNAcentral lists this microRNA (21 nucleotides) under Cordylochernes scorpioides. The record is from RNAcentral. Lineage: Eukaryota; Metazoa; Arthropoda; Arachnida; Pseudoscorpiones; Chernetidae.